Molecule: ribosomal RNA, 253 nt
Filed under: uncultured bacterium
Lineage: Bacteria
Description: partial 16S ribosomal RNA
Rfam family: Bacterial small subunit ribosomal RNA
Source: RNAcentral
UACGUAGGGUGCAAGCGUUAAUCGGAAUUACUGGGCGUAAAGCGUGCGUAGACGGUUACGUAAGUCGGGUGUGAAAGCCCCGGGCUCAACCUGGGAAUUGCAUUCGAGACUGCAUAGCUAGGGUGCGGAAGAGGGAAGCGGAAUUUCCGGUGUAGCGGUGAAAUGCGUAGAUAUCGGAAGGAACACCAGCGGCGAAAGCGGCUUCCUGGUCCAGCACCGACGUUCAGGCACGAAAGCGUGGGGAGCAAACAGG